RNAcentral lists this ribosomal RNA (356 nucleotides) under uncultured bacterium. Its description in RNAcentral is "bacterial SSU rRNA". It matches the Rfam family "Bacterial small subunit ribosomal RNA", at positions 362 to 752 of the family's 1533-position model. The record is from RNAcentral.
UAUUGGACAAUGGGCGCAAGCCUGAUCCAGCCAUGCCGCGUGGAUGAUGAAGGCCCUAGGGUUGUAAAGUCCUUUCGGCGGGGAAGAUAAUGACGGUACCCGCAGAAUAAGCACCGGCUAACUUCGUGCCAGCAGCCGCGGUAAUACGAAGGGUGCUAGCGUUGUUCGGAAUUACUGGGCGUAAAGCGCGCGUAGGCUGUUUGACAAGUCAGAGGUGAAAGCCCUGGGCUCAACCCAGGAAUUGCAUUUAAACUGUCAGACAGAGUGUCGAGGGAUAGCGAAUUCCUAUGAGAGGUAAAUUCGAGUUAGAGAACACCGGUGGCAAGCGGCUUCUGGCGCACUGCGUGGCCAGUAGC